GCUGGGCUUGAUGACUCACGCCUAUAAUUCCAGCAUCUGGGAGGCUGAGGCAGGAGGAUCACCUGAGGUCAGGAGUUUGAGACCAACCUGGCCAACAUGGUGAAACCCUGUCUCUA
Non-coding RNA from Homo sapiens (human), 116 nucleotides. It matches the Rfam family "Metazoan signal recognition particle RNA". Rfam says of the family: The signal recognition particle (SRP) is a universally conserved ribonucleoprotein. NCBI's taxonomy places the organism in Eukaryota, Metazoa, Chordata, Mammalia, Primates, Hominidae. The record is from Rfam.